GGGCGCGUAACUCAGUGGUAGAGUGCUCGCUUUGCAUGCGAGAAGUCCAGGGUUCAAUCCCCUGCCCGUCCA
Molecule: non-coding RNA, 72 nt
Organism: Hypoxylon fragiforme
Lineage: Eukaryota; Fungi; Ascomycota; Sordariomycetes; Xylariales; Hypoxylaceae
Source: the annotation of a RefSeq genome assembly